RNAcentral lists this ribosomal RNA (253 nucleotides) under uncultured bacterium. RNAcentral describes it as "partial 16S ribosomal RNA". It matches the Rfam family "Bacterial small subunit ribosomal RNA", at positions 524 to 776 of the family's 1533-position model. The record is from RNAcentral.
GACAGAGGAUGCAAGCGUUAUCCGGAAUCAUUGGGCGUAAAGCGCGUGUAGGCGGUUCGGUAAGUCUGCUGUGAAAGUCGGGGGCUCAACCCUCGAAUGCCGGUGGAUACUGUCGGACUAGAGUGCGGAAGAGGCGAGUGGAAUUCCUGGUGUAGCGGUGAAAUGCGCAGAUAUCAGGAGGAACACCAAUUGCGAAGGCAGCUCGCUGGGACGGUACUGACGCUGAGGCGCGAAAGCGUGGGGAGCAAACAGG